UGUCAAAGCUCUUCUUAAAGGAGUCCACACCUUCCAGCUCAAGCUGCUUUCCAACCGCGUCCCAGUCGAUGCCAAGCUUCUCCAAGGCGCUGUAUACACCUUCCGCCUCGGACACAUUCGCAUCAACUGUCCUUGAAACAGUGCCAUGGUCUAUGAAUGCCUGCAAAGCUUGGUCGGGCAUCGUGUUGACCUGAAAGUGCAUCAUUCCAGAGUUAUUUUUGUGAUGAUAAGAACAAUGCCGAUUCAAGUGGAAACUCGUCACGAAAACAUACCGUGUCAGGUCCAAUGAGACUGUCCACAUAAAGAGUGUCAGGAUAAGCUGGGUUUUUGACACCGGUGGAUGCCCACAACAACCUCUGUUUCUUGGCACCUUUCUUGGCCAACGCCUCCCACCUUGGUCCAGAGAAUUUCUUCUGGUAGAGCUGAUUU
This 429-nucleotide long non-coding RNA is filed under the name Sorghum bicolor (sorghum). RNAcentral describes it as "long non-coding RNA (SBIC_LNC005843)". The record is from RNAcentral. Lineage: Eukaryota; Viridiplantae; Streptophyta; Magnoliopsida; Poales; Poaceae.